AACUUUGCACAAUUCCAGCCUGUUUUCUCCAUAUUAUAGCAAGUGCAUGCAUUUUUAAGGAGACUUAACUAUAUGGAAAAUCUGAAGGUCUAAUAUGAAGUCUUUCUCAUGAGGAGAAAGACAAGGCCUUAUUUACACCUACCUGCUGCAGUCGCCUUUGUCUUUACAUGUAUGUGGCGAUUUUCACACUAAACCAUUUUCCGAGUCAAGGUUAUGAGGCGGGCAGGAGGAAUACGGUGUUAUCAUGGAAGCUGGUUUCAGUCUUAACUAUGGAUAAGCUACUGCCUCUCUAUGAUAUCCUAAUAUCUUGCCAAAGCAUACAACAAAUGAAAUAAAAUCACUGCUUAUAAUGAUACCAAGACAAAAUCUUAACUUCACAGUGUGCCUGAAAGAUUGACAAAUAGAGGUUGUGGCGGCUCAAGAGUGGAGUGAAUUCCAGUGCUAGCUGGAUGCCCAAUGAUCAUUGUGAGUUCUUGACUGUCUUCUGAAGAAGCAUCUUUCAUUUCAAAUGCUAUAAAGACUGAUUUUCUAUUGAAGCAAUAAAAUGAUCUUUAAAAUCAUAUCCCAGAGGAAGGAAAAUGGUUGUUUAUAAUAUCGAAUGGUAGUUAGCUAUUAGAUAUGCAUUAUCAAAAAAGACAA
Molecule: long non-coding RNA, 639 nt
Organism: Chelonia mydas (Green sea turtle)
Lineage: Eukaryota; Metazoa; Chordata; Testudines; Cheloniidae
Exons: 3
Source: RefSeq, a predicted model, not a curated record